Non-coding RNA from Vicia faba (fava bean), 369 nucleotides. The record is from the annotation of a GenBank genome assembly. Lineage: Eukaryota; Viridiplantae; Streptophyta; Magnoliopsida; Fabales; Fabaceae.
AACACAGUAAAAGAAAGAAGUAAAUCAAAUGACAAUAAUCUCUUUGUUUCUCGUCAACACUGUACUCUCCAUCUCCUUUCUCAUUCAAUCUUCAAAUAUUCCAAGAAAACUCCAGACACCACAAUACUUAACAAUAACAAUCAAACGCAAUUGAGUAGAAAUAUUAUCGGUGGCGGAUUUGCUCCAGGUGGUAGCGCAAAUGGAUGCGGUUUGGAGAGGCGGCGCGGCAGCGGCUGGUCUGUUGCGUGGCUGGCCGUCGGAAUAACGAGGGGUGGCCGGUGGUGCCGUUGCGAAUUGAGCGGAGGAAACGGAAGGGUUGCACGCGUGUUGCUCUCGCGGAUUCGGCGGGGUUGUGCUUGGCGCAAGUAG